AGAAGUUUUGAAUUCUGCUCAGGACGAACGCUGCGGCGUGCCUAAUACAUGCAAGUCGAGCGGACAGAAGGGAGCUUGCUCCCGGAUGUUAGCGGCGGACGGGUGAGUAACACGUGGGUAACCUGCCUGUAAGACUGGGAUAACUCCGGGAAACCGGAGCUAAUACCGGAUAGUUCCUUGAACCGCAUGGUUCAAGGAUGAAAGACGGUUUCGGCUGUCACUUACAGAUGGACCCGCGGCGCAUUAGCUAGUUGGUGGGGUAAUGGCUCACCAAGGCGACGAUGCGUAGCCGACCUGAGAGGGUGAUCGGCCACACUGGGACUGAGACACGGCCCAGACUCCUACGGGAGGCAGCAGUAGGGAAUCUUCCGCAAUGGACGAAAGUCUGACGGAGCAACGCCGCGUGAGUGAUGAAGGUUUUCGGAUCGUAAAGCUCUGUUGUUAGGGAAGAACAAGUGCGAGAGUAACUGCUCGCACCUUGACGGUACCUAACCAGAAAGCCACGGCUAACUACGUGCCAGCAGCCGCGGUAAUACGUAGGUGGCAAGCGUUGUCCGGAAUUAUUGGGCGUAAAGGGCUCGCAGGCGGUUUCUUAAGUCUGAUGUGAAAGCCCCCGGCUCAACCGGGGAGGGUCAUUGGAAACUGGGAAACUUGAGUGCAGAAGAGGAGAGUGGAAUUCCACGUGUAGCGGUGAAAUGCGUAGAGAUGUGGAGGAACACCAGUGGCGAAGGCGACUCUCUGGUCUGUAACUGACGCUGAGGAGCGAAAGCGUGGGGAGCGAACAGGAUUAGAUACCCUGGUAGUCCACGCCGUAAACGAUGAGUGCUAAGUGUUAGGGGGUUUCCGCCCCUUAGUGCUGCAGCUAACGGCAUUAAGGCACUCCCCGCCCC
RNAcentral lists this ribosomal RNA (890 nucleotides) under Bacillus sp. (in: firmicutes). RNAcentral describes it as "bacterial SSU rRNA". It matches the Rfam family "Bacterial small subunit ribosomal RNA", at positions 9 to 873 of the family's 1533-position model. Lineage: Bacteria; Bacillati; Bacillota; Bacilli; Caryophanales; Bacillaceae. The record is from RNAcentral.